GGUUAAAAUAAAUAAGCCAAGGCAGGUAAAGGCCUCUGAGUUGAAAAUAUUCCAGUAGCUUUGGCUGGUGGUCCAGUUGCACUUCUGUCUUGACAGGGAUAGCCUAACUUCUGUUGUCUAAACUCUGGCAAUCUCUAGGUUAGAUUACUGCAACACAUUAUACAUGGGGCUGGUGCAGAAUUUGGCAGCCAAGUUGCUCCCCAGGGCAAGAUGGUUUGAGCAUAUAACAGUUAUCCCUGCAUGUUUUGGGUACUGUAGCCUGGGUAACUCCACCCACAUUAAGAUUUGGCAGCAAAUGAUUCAGACGCUGGUUGCCUAUCCAUAGGUUAAGCAUUUGUUGCAGCUCCCCUAGAUAUCAGUUAACAUUCCUGUAUGAAAUUCCUAUGCUGUUGCAGAAAGAAAGCUCAGUGUGCCAGCAAAUGAGUCUGACUCCAUGCUCUCUUAUUCUCUCACUUAAUAGCUUGAGAAACAAAAACAAAAUUGAAACCCCUCUGGGCAUAUAGAGGCAGAAUGAGCAAAAGGAAGGGGGGUGUUCUUGCAUGCUAGCAAACCUACUGUUUGCGAACCACAAUGAGGUCUUUCAGCUGUAUGUGUUUAACAUCAAUGAAGGGAUUCCACAUAUGGAAGGAGGGAAGUUUAUAGAUUCCUCCUUGCAGAUCCUUGUGGCCCUAUUUCGUAAGACUGAUGGAGCCCUCAGAACAGUGUGGAAAGUGAUAUUGGAGGCGACAGAGACAACUAGCAAAAAUCCCUUCCUCAUGCUUCCAUGAGUGGGAGCCUCUGUUGAAUUGUAGCCCGCACCAUCAAUAACCUGCACUUGCUGAAGAGGCAGCACUAGAUAAAAAUGCUUAAGGCCUGAAAAGCAGAUACAGAUAACCCUUAAUGCAUGUUGGGGAGAUGUUGGUGUGAUAAAAAGUUUGGUUCAAACAUAGGACAAGUCUAUACAGGAGGUUGGGCCACUUCUUUCAGGUGAAGCAUCAGCUCUAGCUGCUUAUUUGCCUUUUACCUUCUGCAUUCCUUCAUACAUACCUUAGGUCAGUGUUUCUCAACCUUGGGCUGUCAGCUGUUUUUAGGACUAAACUCCCAGCAUCCCUGAUCACUGGCCCUGCUAGCUAUGGAUGAUGGGAGUUGUAGUCCAAAAACAGCUGGAGGCCCAAGGUUGAGAAACGCUGCCUUAGGUGAUGCUGGGUGACCUGUGCUGGAACUGUACCUGUGGUGGGAGGGUUUACCUAUGUGCCAUUCUCCUGAAUUAUGUCCCUUUUAAAAACAAUAGAAGCAUGAAUUGAACAUUCCCACGCAGCAGAAACAACCUGAUGACUAGUACACCAGAGAUCUGGCAGCUCCAUGAGCAGCUGACAGUCUGUUAUGCCAGCACUCCGGUAAGACUGACGACAGGAGAAGUCAGGUUGAUGGCACAGUACUGGAAGUAUGGAGAGGAAACUAUAGCUUCACUGCCCAUUCCAGAUCAAAUGCCACUUACUAAAAAUCUAUCUUGAUAAUAAACAGAAAACAUGCUAUGAAGGGAGAGUGGAAACAUGACGGCCAGUGGCAAUGAGUUUUUAUUUGUGGAUUUGUAUUUAUGUCAUGAUCAGCAUUUGUUCUGAAAGAAGAGAGAUUUCUGAGACAAAGCAAUUGUGAUAACAGUAUUCAGUUAUGCAACUUUUAAAUUAGGACUGGAGACUAAACAACAAUAUUGCUGAAAAGUGUGGCAAUAAAAAGGAUCCAUUUCCCCGAAUAUAAUCUAACUACAAUGUCCCUGCUUCACUUUACACAUAGUCUCCAUUACAGCCUUUAUUGCCCACUUUGUUCUCUUUCAUGAAGUGUUAGGUAUUAUCAGAUUUCCCAUCAAACUCUGCAGGUACUUCAUUCAAUACAUUUUUGACAUCAUUCUUGAAAUAUAUGCAAUUAUGCACUAAGCUAGAUUUCAUUAUGCCUUCGGUUAGGUUUUUAAUUUUACAGUCUCUGCUUCAUAAUCUCUGCUACUUUGUUGCUAUGCUUGCCCAGAAAACAUGUCUCUAUGGCCACCUGGAAACUACUUUUCAGUGUUCAGGGACUAAGUCUGUCUGGAACACAAAUGACUGCAGGAAAUUUAAUUCAAGGCUGCUAGAGAAACUAUCUCCUACUUUUCUGCAGGAGGACAGUCCCCACCAAUUAUGCAGUAGCGCUAACCCAGAACAUAGCACAUUUAAUGAAGUACAUAGGAGCACAGGAUGCUCCUUUGGGUGGAGGUCUGGAUAUCAGAGUGCCAAAGUAAGGUAUGGGGUGGAGAUGGGGAGACAGAGAAGAGACCAGAGCUUUGGAAGAAAGGAAGCUUUAUGGGGAAAGUGUUUUUAAAAAUUGGAAAAUUAACAGUUAACUAUGAAGGCUGUUUAGAGAAGGAAGGAAGAGAAGUGAAAAGUUUUGUGACUGUCCUUCAUGGACUUUGUGCAGGAAUUGCUUUCGCUUGGGAAGGCAGAGAAAGGCAGGGAAAUGACAGUGUGAAUUAGAAAGCCAAUGCUGUGGCUGAACAAGCAUCAGAACGAAUAAAAUAAAAAAACAAGAGUUUAGUUUCCUCAGCCAGGACCAGAAUUCACCAACUGGCAACAGCUCAAAGGGGCACUAAAGAUCGAAUUCUAGAGUGAGUUGGGAUAUGUUUAAUUCACACCAAGACUCUGCUUUGCAACUACCUGGAAUGCAGAAGUAUAGAUGUGCAAGAAUGGGCAUGUGACUAGGAGCUCCAGAAAUGUAGUUAUCAAAGCCAAUGGAAGACACACUUGAAGGACUAUGAGGAAAUGCACGUAGGGCACAGGAGACUUGCUGAGCUCAAAGGUUGUGAGGCCAGUUAUAACCCUUGAUUACAAAGCAGGAUGUUUCUGGAGUGGCAGUUUCCAGGUGCACAAAAAGAGACGACUGUCUUCUAUCUGCUUUAACAAGAGAGAGAGGGUCUUGGCUCUACGUGGCGUUCAAGCACCAAUUAUAGAGCACAGUAGAAAUCUCGGGCCUCUCCAUUCCCAACUGAAGAAUGAUAGCUUUGCUUGGGUUGGAGUAGGUCUCAGAGAAAGGUUGGGUGCUAACAAGGUUGUACUGUAGUGUACAAAGGUUGUAGACAUUCCACUGCCCAUUUCAGCAGAGAAUUUCCAUGGGAAUUUCAAGUGCACCUUUCCCUUGUUUGCUAGAACCUUACCAGCUGACUCAAAUGAAAUAUAGCCUUUUUUGAGCCAAGGUGGUUGUGAAGGGACACAUGAAAUGGAGGCAGAAUAGGGGUCACCAGUAACAGCUUUCUUAUUUUGCCACUUUUCCAACUGACUAAGAACAAGAAUAGAGUUGCUAUUUUUCUUAUUACAUUUUUUUGUACUUCUACUUGGAUUUCUACACUGGUGGCCUGAUUUCCUCAGUUAUGUAUCUCAGAACACUUAACAUGUGAAUAACAAGAUUUUCCAUGAGAACAAUCCGAUACCAAUGAAGUGGAUUUCGUAAUUUACCUGAGUUACAUACUCUGGGCCAAUGUCCUUGACAGAUGAAAAUUAAUUGAGUCUGGAAAGUGCUGCUAUGCACCAAUUAAAUCUUUGACAUAGGAUAUGAACACAUUUUAAACAGUUGUAUAUGGUAGGUAAGGUCUGGAAAGGUUAAACAGUUGAGUAUUAUGAAAUGUGGUUCUGCGUCACCUCUAAUCUUUCAACAGUACGUAUUGAGCUUCAUUUUUUGCCUUCCAAGUGUUUGAAAAAACUGAAACCAGUCGACCUGUUGCCUUAUUACCAUAGCUGACAAUGUCUCCACAGUAGCUCUCACAUCUUCCAGGAAUGUGUUCAGGCUUCUGCCUACCUGACUGCUCCAAAGAGCAUGUUUAUAUAUCACCAGGUGGCACAAGCCCCUUUAAAGCAUUACUGCUACAUUUUUAACUACGGUGUCAGAGAGCAACCACAUUGUACAAAGCCUGUAAUGCAUUUCUAGACCAACAUGGGAUCAAGUGCAUAUGCAUUUGCAGCUUUGUUUGAUAAGAGAAUGUGUUCAGCCCCUUCCCUGUUGAAGAUUUUUCAUAUUUAAUUAUUGUAACCUGCCCUGGAACCUGCUGGUGAUGGGAUAGGCAAGUAAUAAAUUGUUAUUUUUCA
Molecule: non-coding RNA, 4085 nt
Organism: Podarcis lilfordi (Lilford's wall lizard)
Lineage: Eukaryota; Metazoa; Chordata; Lepidosauria; Squamata; Lacertidae
Source: the annotation of a GenBank genome assembly